RNAcentral lists this unclassified non-coding RNA (303 nucleotides) under plant metagenome. Its description in RNAcentral is "partial contains small subunit ribosomal RNA and internal transcribed spacer 1". The record is from RNAcentral.
AAGUCGUAAACAAGGGUUUUCCGUAGGUAACCUUGCUGAAGGAUUCAUUAAAGAAGUUGUCCUGACAACCCCUCUGGGGAUGGAGGGUGCUACAAGGGUCGGAGGCUCGGAGUUAAACCCCCGGUCCCCGAUCUCUUCCACCCUGGUGUAUACCUUCCACGUUGCUUUGGCGGGCCUGGGUACGUCCUUCUGGGCACCCUGCCGGCGUCGGACUUCGUCCCCGCCGGCGAGCGCCCGCCAGAGACCCUUACCAUUCUGAUUUUUUUCAAUGUCGUCUGAGCAAAAACACAAAAUAAAAUAAAA